GAUGAACGCUGGCGGCGUGCCUAAUACAUGCAAGUCGAGCGAACGGACGAGAAGCUUGCUUCUCUGAUGUUAGCGGCGGACGGGUGAGUAACACGUGGAUAACCUACCUAUAAGACUGGGAUAACUUCGGGAAACCGGAGCUAAUACCGGAUAAUAUUUUGAACCGCAUGGUUCAAAAGUGAAAGACGGUCUUGCUGUCACUUAUAGAUGGAUCCGCGCUGCAUUAGCUAGUUGGUAAGGUAACGGCUUACGAAGGCAACGAUGCAUAGCCGACCUGAGAGGGUGAUCGGCCACACUGGAACUGGACCCCGGUCCAGACUCCUACGGGAGGCAGCAGUAGGGAAUCUUCCGCAAUGGGCGAAAGCCUGACGGAGCAACGCCGCGUGAGUGAUGAAGGUCUUCGGAUCGUAAAACUCUGUUAUUAGGGAAGAACAUAUGUGUAAGUAACUGUGCACAUCUUGACGGUACCUAAUCAGAAAGCCACGGCUAACUACGUG
This 497-nucleotide ribosomal RNA is filed under the name uncultured bacterium. Its description in RNAcentral is "partial 16S ribosomal RNA". It matches the Rfam family "Bacterial small subunit ribosomal RNA", at positions 28 to 507 of the family's 1533-position model. The record is from RNAcentral.